Molecule: ribosomal RNA, 624 nt
Filed under: Gigaspora rosea
Lineage: Eukaryota; Fungi; Glomeromycota; Glomeromycetes; Diversisporales; Gigasporaceae
Description: partial 28S ribosomal RNA
Rfam family: Eukaryotic large subunit ribosomal RNA
Source: RNAcentral
UAGUAACGGCGAGUGAAGCGGGAAGAGCACAAAUUUUAAAUCUACCUGGUUUCCAGGUCGAGUUGUAAUUUGARGAUACGUUUUUGAYGUUCCGGGUUGGACUAAAUCCUUUGGGAUAAGGUAUCAURGAGGGUGAGAAUCCCGUAUAUACCAACCNNAGGGAUGUUAUUUAAUACGUUUCUAAGAGUCGAGUUGUUUGGGAAUGCAGCUCUAAAUGGGUGGUAAAUUUCACCUAAUGCUAAAUAUAAGCGAGAGACCGAUAGCGAACAAGUACAGUGAUGGAAAGAUGAAAAGAACUUUGAAAAGAGAGUUAAAUAGUACGUGAAAUUGUUGAAAGGGAAACGAUUGAAGUCAGUCAUGCCRGUGGGAAUCAACUUAGRGGAAACUCURRGUGCACUUCUUCGCUUGGCAGGUYARYGUCGAUUUUGGAUGUCAUAAAAUGAYUGGGGGAAGGUAGCUCCUUYGGGAGUGUUAUAGCCCUUGGUAGAUGUGAUGUCUGGGAUCGAGGAUUGCAAYGGAUACCCUUURGGGCUAGYCRCCUGAUCUCUAAUURGUAUURGRUUACGGAYAGCAUGCUGACCGUGAUYUAAUUAUUGGUUAAAAGGUUAGAGUGCACAUAAAUUC